This is a long non-coding RNA of Dermacentor silvarum, 1408 nucleotides long. RefSeq lists it as uncharacterized. The transcript is spliced from 4 exons. The record is from RefSeq and is a predicted model, not a curated record. NCBI's taxonomy places the organism in Eukaryota, Metazoa, Arthropoda, Arachnida, Ixodida, Ixodidae.
CCGACAUCGUACCACUUUUCAAUUUGUGGUGUCCGGGUGCGUUUUGUGCGAUUCACGCACUGCGGCGACGUCGGGAAUUGCGCCGACGAGUACGCGACCGCUCGCAGAGACAAAGUCCGAAAGCUCGUCAGCCGGGGCGGCGCGCGCAAGCGACGUUCAGCGCAACUUUUCCGUGGAAAUACCGAAAGCGGCUCGCACGUUUGCCUUGUAUCGGUGAGCUGGGGCACCGUGGUGCACGCGAGAGGUGGAAAGACGGCUUGAAAAGAGAAAAUGAGGAAUUUCUUUCGGCGCUAACUGCCGCCGGCGGCCACGAGUACGGCCCCAUGGAGGUCUGGGUACUUAUCGCUGCUAUUAUAUAGAGCUAUGCGGCCCCGGCCGACAUCGUACCACUUUUCAAUUUGCGGUGUCCGGGUGCGUUUUGUGCGAUUCACGCACUGCGGCGACGUCGGCAAUUGCGCCGACGAGUACGCGACCGCUCGCAGAGGCAAAGUCCGAAAGCUCGUCAGCCGGGGCGGCGCGCGCAAGCGACGUUCAGCGCAACUUUUCCGUGGAAAUACCGAAAGCGGCUCGCACGUUUGCCUUGUAUCGGUGAGCUGGGGCACCGUGGUGCACGCGAGAGGUGGAAACACGGCUUGAAAAGCAAAAAUGAGGAAUUUCUUUCGGCGCUAACUGCCGCCGGCGGUCACGAGUACGGCCCCAUGGAGGUCUGGGUACUUAUCGCUGCUAUUAUAUAGAGCUAUGCGGCCCCGGCCGACAUCGUACCACUUUUCAAUUUGCGGUGUCCGGGUGCGUUUUGUGCGAUUCACGCACUGCGGCGUCGUCGGCAAUUGCGCCGACGAGUACGCGACCGCUCGCAGAGGCAAAGUCCGAAAGCUCGUCAGCCGGGGCGGCGCGCGCAAGCGACGUUCAGCGCAACUUUUCCGUGGAAAUACCGAAAGCGGCUCGCACGUUUGCCUUGUAUCGGUGAGCUGGGGCACCGUGGUGCACGCGAGAGGUGGAAACACGGCUUGAAAAGCAAAAAUGAGGAAUUUCUUUCGGCGCUAACUGCCGCCGGCGGUCACGAGUACGGCCCCAUGGAGGUCUGGGUACUUAUCGCUGCUAUUAUAUGGAGCUAUGCGGCCCCGGCCGACAUCGUACCACUUUUCAAUUUGCGGUGUCCGGGUGCGUUUUGUGCGAUUCACGCACUGCGGCGACGUCGGGAAUUGCGCCGACGAGUACGCGACCGCUCGCAGAGACAAAGUCCGAAAGCUCGUCAGCCGGGGCGGCGCGCGCAAGCGACGUUCAGCGCAACUUUUCCGUGGAAAUACCGAAAGCGGCUCGCACGUUUGCCUUGUAUCGGUGAGCUGGGGCACCGUGGUGCACGCGAGAGGUGGAAAGACGGCUUGAAAAGCAAAAAUGAGGAAUUUCU